UGCCAGCCGCCGCGGUAAUACGGAGGGUGCAAGCGUUGUCCGGAUUUAUUGGGUUUAAAGGGUGCGUAGGCGGUCUAUUAAGUCAGUGGUGAAAGUCUGCGGCUCAACCGUAGAAGUGCCAUUGAAACUGGUAGACUUGAGUACCGUUGAGGUAUGCGGAAUUUAUGGUGUAGCGGUGAAAUGCAUAGAUACCAUAAAGAACACCGAUAGCGAAGGCAGCAUACUAAUCGGUAACUGACGCUGAGGCACGAAAGCAUGGGGAGCGAACAGGAUUAGAUA
RNAcentral lists this ribosomal RNA (279 nucleotides) under uncultured bacterium. RNAcentral's name for it is "partial 16S ribosomal RNA". It matches the Rfam family "Bacterial small subunit ribosomal RNA", at positions 506 to 784 of the family's 1533-position model. The record is from RNAcentral.